GUCCCUGUAGCGCAAUGGAUAGUGCAGUGGUCUUCUAAUCCAAAGGUCGUGGGUUUGAAUCCCACCUGGGAUG
Molecule: transfer RNA, 73 nt
Filed under: Trichonephila inaurata madagascariensis
Lineage: Eukaryota; Metazoa; Arthropoda; Arachnida; Araneae; Nephilidae
Rfam family: tRNA
About the family: Transfer RNA (tRNA) molecules are approximately 80 nucleotides in length. Their secondary structure includes four short double-helical elements and three loops (D, anti-codon, and T loops).
Source: Rfam by way of RNAcentral